CACUCCGGUGGCCAAGUGGUUAGAGCUUCCACCACGGAUGUGGAAGGUUGCGGGUUCGAUCCUCGCUUGAGUCA
This is a non-coding RNA of Potamilus streckersoni, 74 nucleotides long. The record is from the annotation of a GenBank genome assembly. NCBI's taxonomy places the organism in Eukaryota, Metazoa, Mollusca, Bivalvia, Unionida, Unionidae.